CUCGGGCGUGCCUGGAGGGGGUUGUCCAAGCAACCCCGGUGGAUAGCAAAUCUAAGUGAUGCGCUAGUAGCUUCCACCCAUACAGGGGAAAAAACACUUCGUUUCGAACUCCUCUCGCCAUGGGAACUUGACUUUGUUAUUUCUUUGUUUGUCCGCAGCUUUCAAAUCCAAGACUUCGGAAUCUGAGUCCCGCAGUUCGCGCAUCUACUCGCCUGUACUUGGAGCAGGGAAGCUUUCUUAGAGAUGCAGUGGCCCUCAAAGUCUGUGGAUUAUCUGUAUAGUAUUAUCCAGCUUCUCCAGCACAUGCCCUGUUCCUAGUUACCCUUCCAUAGCCCUUCAAUCAUAGAGCCCAAAGAGUGAUAUUACCCGACUAACUCUAUCCCCACUUCUGCCCCUAAACUACAGGCCACAGCUAAAAUACGAUGAUCAUUUUAAAAGAUCUGCUUCACAGACAGCGCCCCGCUACCCGCAAGAGGAUGGGUUUUUUGGUUUGGUUUGGUUUUUUUUGUGUUGUUUUGUUUUGUUUUAAAGAACGAGAAAGAGUAUAUGGGAAGGCUUGUGCUAUAACUCUUGUAAAAAUAGCAUCACCUGAGACAAGAACUUUAGCCAAGGAGAGGUAGAGAAUAAGAUUUGGAUUUAGUUUUGGUUAAGCCAUUUCACCACUGUAUGAAGUCUCACGGGCUUGGCACAUCUCAGUUUUCUCAUCUACAAAACUGAUGUAAAACAAACUACUUCAUAGGGUUGUAGUGAAAAAUUAAAUCCUGAAUGUGAAAGCACUUUGGAACUCCUAAGGUGCUGUGAACUGUAGGUGCUGGCUGUGUUUAAAUUUAUCACUCCUCAGGAGGCUUUCAAUUAACGGGUGGCAAAAGGAAUGGAGGAAACAGCACUUUGAUGUAUUAAAUGCAAACCUUCAUUAUUUAUUACUCUAGACUAAUUCUUUAUUGUUCAGUGCUCUUUUAUCUGCAGGUGACAGAAAUCCAGCCAGAUGAAGCUCCUGUGAGAGAAGGGUGUAUUGUCCAGGUCACGCUGAAGGAGGAGAUGUGAAUUCUCAGCGUCCUGCUCCUACUGCCAUGCCUGACUGCCACGAUGGAUUCUUAUUCCCCUGGAAUCACAAGUCAAAUAAAUGCUUUCUUCCAUAAGUUGCUUUUUGGUCACGGUGUUUUAUCACAGCAACUGAAAAGUAAAUGAUACACUAGGCAUGCCUUCAAAAGGUAAAUCUUGUCCCCAGUCCCUAUGACCCUUCUCUGCUUCUUGGCUGCCAUGAGGUGAGCAGCCUUCUCCAG
RNAcentral lists this long non-coding RNA (1283 nucleotides) under Cricetulus griseus (Chinese hamster). Its description in RNAcentral is "lncRNA (ENSCGRG00015032214.1)". The record is from RNAcentral. Lineage: Eukaryota; Metazoa; Chordata; Mammalia; Rodentia; Cricetidae.